CUCUAUUCUAUCAUUGAGACCAGCUGCCCAUAUCCAUGAUUUGAAAAGAAGUUCCUGUCAUACAAUGUACGGCAAAUGGAGCAAUCUGAACCACUCCUGAUUUCAAUAUCAUGAGCAAAUGUACGGCAAAUUCCUGUCUUACAUAUUCUUUCCUUGCUUAUUAAUCAAUUGCAGCAGUUUUUGAUCCCCCCCCCCCCUAAUUUUAAUAUUUAACUAGCAGUGGUUAACAACAGUUUUGAUGGUAUUGUUAUUUUCACCCUUAGUGUUCUGUUCUUUCACUUUUGAAUGUGGUGGACUAGCUGGAUCUUAAAACUACACUUAGUUGGGAAUUUCCAUUUAAAUUUAGGGGUAUGAUGCUUUUGUUAGUACCACCCAGUCAAGGUACCAAAACACAAGUAAAUUGAGAAACUUUCAAUAAUUCAGAGUGCAUGUUUCCUCUUUUCUUUUAUGUUUCACUUUUUACCUCUUGUUUUU
RNAcentral lists this long non-coding RNA (474 nucleotides) under Phoenix dactylifera (date palm). RNAcentral's name for it is "long non-coding RNA (PDAC_LNC017748)". The record is from RNAcentral. Lineage: Eukaryota; Viridiplantae; Streptophyta; Magnoliopsida; Arecales; Arecaceae.